RNAcentral lists this ribosomal RNA (254 nucleotides) under uncultured bacterium. RNAcentral describes it as "partial 16S ribosomal RNA". It matches the Rfam family "Bacterial small subunit ribosomal RNA", at positions 524 to 776 of the family's 1533-position model. The record is from RNAcentral.
UACGGGGGGAGCAAGCGUUGUUCGGAUUUACUGGGCGUAAAGGGCGCGUAGGCGGCCACCGCAAGUCAAUUGUGAAAUCUCCGGGCUCAACCCGGAAAGGUCAACUGAUACUGCGGGGCUAGAGUGCAGAAGGGGCAACUGGAAUUCUCGGUGUAGCGGUGAAAUGCGUAGAUACUGGGAGGAACACCGGUGGCGAAGGCGGCCUUCUGGACAGUGACUGACGCUGAGACGCGAAAGCGUGGGGAGCAAACAGG